Molecule: ribosomal RNA, 424 nt
Filed under: uncultured Actinomycetospora sp.
Lineage: Bacteria; Bacillati; Actinomycetota; Actinomycetes; Pseudonocardiales; Pseudonocardiaceae
Description: bacterial SSU rRNA
Rfam family: Bacterial small subunit ribosomal RNA
Source: RNAcentral
GUGGGGAAUCUUGCGCAAUGGGCGGAAGCCUGACGCAGCAACGCCGCGUGGGGGAUGACGGCCUUCGGGUUGUAAACCUCUUUCGCGAUCGACGAAGGUCCACCUUUCUGGUGGGUUGACGGUAGGUCGAGAAGAAGCACCGGCCAACUACGUGCCAGCAGCCGCGGUAAUACGUAGGGUGCGAGCGUUGUCCGGAAUUAUUGGGCGUAAAGAGCUCGUAGGCGGUGUGUCACUUCGGCCGGGAAAACCUGGGGCUCAACUCUGGGCGUGCGGUCGAUACGGGCAUCACUUGAGUUCGGCAGGGGAGACUGGAAUUCCUGGUGUAGCGGUGAAAUGCGCAGAUAUCAGGAGGAACACCGGUGGCGAAGGCGGGUCUCUGGGCCGAUACUGACGCUGAGGAGCGAAAGCAUGGGUAGCGAACAGG